CGGAAAAUCGGAGUUACUAUUCACUUUAAGUGAUUAGUACAGGUUGUAUAACUUCUCCAUCCUAACUCGUUUUCUCCUGAAACUUGACGAGUAUUUAUGUAAUUAAAUUACACACAAAAACAUCGUCAACAUAGAGUUUAGCUACACAGUCGAAUUCUCAGUCCUUACAGAUUACUUUUAAUCUAUUAACUUACAUGAAUUCCCAAUAUUUGUUGCCACAUGGCAAGUUUUCCUUCACCCUCACUAGCAUGUGACUCUUCUUCUUUUUCUCACUAAACUUUCAAUGUACAUUUUAACGAUUCUACUAACAAAACUUUCAAUUAAUGUAUUUAAAUGAUUCCACUAACAAAACUUUCAAUUAAUAUAUUUAAAUGGUCCCGCUAUCAUCUACUAUUCUAUCGUUUCUAUCUACAAUUAUUCAUUAUGACCCUUUCCAUUCCCUCCACUAUACUUUUAAUUAAUGCAAACGAUUCCACUACCAAACUUUCAAUUAGUAUGCUUAAAUGAUCUCACUACCAUCUUACAAUCAUAACCUCUCUAUCUCCAAUUAUUCAUUAUGGCCAUUUUCCUUUCCUCCACCAGACUUUUAAUUUUUUAUCUCCAAUCUAUUCAUCAAUUCUCUAUCUCUCAUUUUUUGCUAUACACCAUCGCCUCCUUCCCUUGCUCCCUCUCUCUUUCUCACUAUAAAGCGCCCACUUCCUCUUUCCGCCAUGACGUUUGGUGGAUAUAUCAAGUAAGAUACACAAGAAAAUGUUUAAUAUUUUUUUAUUAUUAAUUAUUACUAGAAUUUCUACCCGCUGCAAAGCACCUAAGAAAAAUAAUGACAUAGCCAACAAACAUUAUCUUUUUCUUUUCAUUUAAAUAUAGUUAUUAUAUUUUAUCUUUUAAUAUU
RNAcentral lists this long non-coding RNA (892 nucleotides) under Ananas comosus (pineapple). RNAcentral's name for it is "long non-coding RNA (ACOM_LNC016912)". Lineage: Eukaryota; Viridiplantae; Streptophyta; Magnoliopsida; Poales; Bromeliaceae. The record is from RNAcentral.